GUUAUUUAAUACGUUUCUAAGAGUCGAGUUGUUUGGGAAUGCAGCUCUAAAUGGGUGGUAAAUUUCACUUAAUGCUAAAUAUAAGCGAGGAGCACCGAUAGCGAACAAGUACAGUGAUGGAAAGAUGAAAAGAACUUUGAAAAGAGAGUUAAAUAGUACGUGAAAUUGUUGAAAGGGAAACGAUUGAAGUCAGUCAUGCCGGUGGGAAUCAACUUAGGGGAAACUCUGAGUGCACUUCUUCGCUUGGCAGGUCAACGUUGAUUUUGGAUGUCAUAAAAUGAUUGAGGGAAGGUAGCUCCUUCGGGAGUGUUAUAGCCCUUGGUAGAUGUGAUGUCUGGGAUCAAGGAUUGCAAUGGAUACCCUUUGGGGCUAGCCGCCUGAUCUCUAAUUGGUAUUGGGUUACGGAUAGCAUGCUGACCGUGAUCUAAUUAUUGGUUAAAAGG
This 443-nucleotide ribosomal RNA is filed under the name Gigaspora margarita. RNAcentral describes it as "eukaryotic LSU rRNA". It matches the Rfam family "Eukaryotic large subunit ribosomal RNA", at positions 242 to 625 of the family's 3401-position model. Lineage: Eukaryota; Fungi; Glomeromycota; Glomeromycetes; Diversisporales; Gigasporaceae. The record is from RNAcentral.